GUGGGGAAUAUUGGACAAUGGGCGAAAGCCUGAUCCAGCAACGCCGCGUGAGGGAUGACGGCCUUCGGGUUGUAAACCUCUUUCAGCAGGGACGAAGCGAAAGUGACGGUACCUGCAGAAGAAGGACCGGCCAACUACGCGCCAGCAGCCGCGGUAAUACGUAGGGUCCGAGCGUUGUCCGGUAUUAUUGGGCGUAAAGGGCUCGUAGGCGUUCUGUCGCGUCGGGAGUGAAAACUCAGGGCUCAACCCUGAGCGUGCUUCCGAUACGGGCAGACUAGAGGUAUGCAGGGGAGAACGGAAUUCCUGGUGUAGCGGUGGAAUGCGCAGAUAUCAGGAGGAACACCGGUGGCGAAGGCGGUUCUCUGGGCAUUACCUGACGCUGAGGAGCGAAAGCAUGGGGAGCGAACAGGAUUAGAUACCCUGGUAGUCC
This 430-nucleotide ribosomal RNA is filed under the name uncultured bacterium. RNAcentral describes it as "partial 16S ribosomal RNA". It matches the Rfam family "Bacterial small subunit ribosomal RNA", at positions 354 to 796 of the family's 1533-position model. The record is from RNAcentral.